AGUCGAGCGGUAGAGAGAAGCUUGCUUCUCUUGAGAGCGGCGGACGGGUGAGUAAUGCCUAGGAAUCUGCCUGGUAGUGGGGGAUAACGCUCGGAAACGGACGCUAAUACCGCAUACGUCCUACGGGAGAAAGCAGGGGACCUUCGGGCCUUGCGCUAUCAGAUGAGCCUAGGUCGGAUUAGCUAGUUGGUGAGGUAAUGGCUCACCAAGGCGACGAUCCGUAACUGGUCUGAGAGGAUGAUCAGUCACACUGGAACUGAGACACGGUCCAGACUCCUACGGGAGGCAGCAGUGGGGAAUAUUGGACAAUGGGCGAAAGCCUGAUCCAGCCAUGCCGCGUGUGUGAAGAAGGUCUUCGGAUUGUAAAGCACUUUAAGUUGGGAGGAAGGG
RNAcentral lists this ribosomal RNA (390 nucleotides) under Pseudomonas sp. LR74. RNAcentral's name for it is "bacterial SSU rRNA". It matches the Rfam family "Bacterial small subunit ribosomal RNA", at positions 60 to 452 of the family's 1533-position model. Lineage: Bacteria; Pseudomonadati; Pseudomonadota; Gammaproteobacteria; Pseudomonadales; Pseudomonadaceae. The record is from RNAcentral.